AACACGGACCAAGGAGUCUAACGUGCGCGCGAGUCGCGGGGUUCGAGCGGUUGGCGGCGUUCGCUUGCGGGCGUCGUCGGCCGUUCGUUACAAUACGAAACCCGUCUCGUUUUACGAAAGGCGCAAUGAAAGUGAAUUUUGGGGAAGAUGACGUUACCGAGUUCACGUUCCGCGCUCUCGAAGCGCGGCCGGUCGUCCGCAUUCCCAGGGCGUCCCAAUGGCCCGGCGGCGUUGCGGACUGUCGUUCCUUCGGGGGCGGCGGUCGGGCGUCGUCGAACCGGGGCGCAGCUAUCGCGUGCACGUUGGUACCCGAAAGAUGGUGAACUAUGCCCGGCCAGGAUGAAGUCAGGGGAAACCCUGAUGGAGGUCCGCAGCGAUUCUGACGUGCAAAUCGAUCGUCUGAGCUGGGUAUAGGGGCGAAAGACUAAUCGAACCAUCUAGU
This 442-nucleotide ribosomal RNA is filed under the name Phenacoccus solani (Solanum mealybug). Its description in RNAcentral is "partial large subunit ribosomal RNA". It matches the Rfam family "Eukaryotic large subunit ribosomal RNA", at positions 658 to 948 of the family's 3401-position model. The record is from RNAcentral. Lineage: Eukaryota; Metazoa; Arthropoda; Insecta; Hemiptera; Pseudococcidae.